This is a long non-coding RNA of Lytechinus variegatus (green sea urchin), 1445 nucleotides long. RefSeq lists it as uncharacterized. The transcript has 2 exons. The record is from RefSeq and is a predicted model, not a curated record. Lineage: Eukaryota; Metazoa; Echinodermata; Echinoidea; Temnopleuroida; Toxopneustidae.
GUAAAGAUUUGAGGGAAAUCCAUCAAAGAUUUUAAAGUUAUUUGAAUUUCAAUAUUUUUUUUUUAUUUCGUCUAUGCAAGCAGCUCCAAGAAUCAUGAAUUUAAAAAAUCAAUGAAAUUUCAUUUUCUAAAAAAUUGAAAAUGUUUUUCAUUGUACAGGUCUUUAGUAUAUCAACAGACAAACUAUUUUACACCAGCUCUCAACAUAACAAAGUCAUCAUGAACCAUUAAACAUUUACAUAUGGGGCAGCUGCUUGACCUCACAAAUCAAAAACUUAAAAUUCUCACAACUUUCGUAAUCUUUAUUGGAUUUUCCUCAAAAGUUCAUGUUUCAGAUUCAUCAUUAAGUUAAAUAUUUUUCUGUUCAAUUAUCACAAACAUUACGUGAUAUACAUGUCAGCCCCCCCCCCCCCCCCCGCAAAAAAAAACAGCCUAAUUUUGCAGCAUUUGAUAAGUUUUAACAUUGCAACGAAUGGAGAUUUUCGAGAGCCUUUUAUAGUUUCAAAGUUUCUUUUGAUCAUAUUUUGGGGGCUGUAUUGCCCUGAGCCUCUGUGUAUUUUUCCUAUGACACAUGAAAGGCAACUAGUCAAUACAGAGAAAAUAAGUUGAUUGAAAAACAAGGCCCCUCAUUAUGUUGGUGGCAAAUAUAUUUAUAAAAAAAAAAUUGUUUGAAUACAGGCAUAGUGUAAAAUUGUCAUAAUGCCAUCCACAAGCUGAGUUUUAUACACCGCACCUUUAGAUUGAUCACAUAAACCUAAGGUGUAGUGUAGAAUUAUCAUAAUGCCAUCCACAAGCUGAGUUUUAUACACUGCACCUUUAGAUUGAUCACAUAAACCUAAGGUGUAGUGUAAAAUUGUCUUAAUGCUGAGUUUUAUACACCACACCUUUAGAUUGAUCACAUAAACCCAAGGUGUAGUGUAAAGGUGUUUAAUGCCAUCCACAAGCUGAGUUUUAUACACCGCACCUUUACAUUGAUCGCACAAACCCAAGGUGUAGUGUAAAGGUGAUAAAUGCCAUCCACAAGCUAGGUUUACACUAGGAAGUUUACACAACACCUUUAGAUUGAUCCCAGAAACCUGUUACAUAAUGAACAUAUUAUCUGUCUGAAACCCGGUUGUCCUAUUACAGUGACAAUUGAUUCGCUAACACUUGUAGCCUCCUCUUAUAGUUUUCCCAUUUAUACCAUGCCUCAAAUGUCAUUACUUUACAAAAAAAGCCACAUUACUAGAGGGCACAUAUUACAGAACAAAUAAAAAAAUUAUGAAGGGCAGAAUUAAUCUCCAAGGCCAAAGGUCAAUCAGGCAAGGGAAUCCUUGACCAUGACUUUAGAAUAAAUUAUGAGAAGAAAAACCAGAUUUGUCCACUCAAAUGACAUAAGGCAAGAUAAUGUACUACCAUACUAUCUACAAGAAAUCAUUUGAUUAAUUGCUUGGUACUGCAGAAUUG